This is a long non-coding RNA of Lates calcarifer (barramundi perch), 319 nucleotides long. RefSeq lists it as uncharacterized. The record is from RefSeq and is a predicted model, not a curated record. The transcript has 3 exons. Lineage: Eukaryota; Metazoa; Chordata; Actinopteri; Centropomidae.
AGAGACUGCACGGAGGCUGUGGACGCUCCUGAAAGUACCAGACUCGGCCUGCCGACGGCGUGAAGCUCACACUGACCGCCGAGACCCGCUGCUUUGAUCCCUGACCCUCGGCCAAAUGGUCCGGCUGCAGCACGGCCGCUCGCUGUUUUACAGCCACAGUUUGGACCACUCACUUCCUCCUCGCCGCCUGGACCGACCCUUUAAUUCAUCAACACCCACAAGCACAUGCAAUCAGGAUCUGAUGUGAAGAGAGGGAAUCACGGUUUGCAGAGACGAGAGCUCCUGUUUCACGGCAGUUUCCAAACCCUCCCUCCAGGCG